This 21-nucleotide non-coding RNA is filed under the name Arabidopsis thaliana (thale cress). Lineage: Eukaryota; Viridiplantae; Streptophyta; Magnoliopsida; Brassicales; Brassicaceae. The record is from RNAcentral.
UCACAUUCAGUGUUUUGAUUG